UGGGAUAUCUUGGAAGGUUUCU
RNAcentral lists this microRNA (22 nucleotides) under Ascaris suum (pig roundworm). RNAcentral describes it as "asu-miR-5361-5p". Lineage: Eukaryota; Metazoa; Nematoda; Chromadorea; Rhabditida; Ascarididae. The record is from miRBase by way of RNAcentral.